CUGCGGAGGGAUCAUUACUGAGUUACCGCUCAUCAACCCUUUGUGAACAUACCUUAACUGUUGCUUCGGCGGGUAGGCGUCCCCUAAAAAGGACGUCUCCCGGCCCUCUCCCGUCCGCGGGUGGGGCGCCCGCCGGAGGAUAACCAAACUCUGAUUUAACGACGUUUCUUCUGAGUGACACAAGCAAAUAAUCAAAACUUUUAACAACGGAUCUCUUGGUUCUGGCAUCGAUGAAGAACGCAGCGAAAUGCGAUAAGUAAUGUGAAUUGCAGAAUUCAGUGAAUCAUCGAAUCUUUGAACGCACAUUGCGCCCGCCAGCAUUCUGGCGGGCAUGCCUGUUCGAGCGUCAUUUCAACCCUCAAGCUCUGCUUGGUGUUGGGGCUCUACGGUUGACGUAGGCCCUUAAAGGUAGUGGCGGACCCUCUCGGAGCCUCCUUUGCGUAGUAACAUUUCGUCUCGCAUUGGGAUUCGGAGGGACUCUAGCCGUAAAACCCCCAAUUUUACUAAGGUUGACCUCGGAUCAGGUAGGAAUACCCGCUGAACUUAAGCAUAUCAAUA
RNAcentral lists this ribosomal RNA (558 nucleotides) under Colletotrichum truncatum. Its description in RNAcentral is "eukaryotic LSU rRNA". The stretch from base 196 to 349 matches the Rfam family "5.8S ribosomal RNA". Lineage: Eukaryota; Fungi; Ascomycota; Sordariomycetes; Glomerellales; Glomerellaceae. The record is from RNAcentral.